Molecule: unclassified non-coding RNA, 239 nt
Filed under: Dothideomycetes sp.
Lineage: Eukaryota; Fungi; Ascomycota; Dothideomycetes
Description: partial contains 5.8S ribosomal RNA, internal transcribed spacer 2, and large subunit ribosomal RNA
Source: RNAcentral
CGCACAUUGCGCCCUUUGGUAUUCCUUAGGGCAUGCCUGUUCGAGCGUCAUUUAAACCCUCAAGCUCAGCUUGGUGUUGGGUGACUGUCCGCUUGCGGACUCGCCUCAAAAUGAUUGGCGGCCGGUACUUUUGGCUUCGAGCGCAGCAGAAACGCGAACUCGAGGCCUGUGUGCUGGCUCCCAGAAGCUAUCUUCACAAUUUUGACCUCGGAUCAGGUAGGGAUACCCGCUGAACUUAA